UACGUAGGGUGCAAGCGUUGUCCGGAAUUAUUGGGCGUAAAGAGCGUGUAGGCGGCCAGACAAGUCUGCUGUGAAAACUCGAGGCUCAACCUCGAGAUGUCGGCGGAAACUGUUUGGCUAGAGUCCGGAAGAGGAGAGUGGAAUUCCUGGUGUAGCGGUGAAAUGCGCAGAUAUCAGGAAGAACACCUAUGGCGAAGGCAGCUCUCUGGGACGGUACUGACGCUGAGACGCGAAAGCGUGGGGAGCGAACAGG
This 253-nucleotide ribosomal RNA is filed under the name uncultured bacterium. Its description in RNAcentral is "partial 16S ribosomal RNA". It matches the Rfam family "Bacterial small subunit ribosomal RNA", at positions 524 to 776 of the family's 1533-position model. The record is from RNAcentral.